CAUCUAUGAAGGACACAGGGCUGUGAAGGACGAACAGAGACAACCCCCGCAGGAGCCCUUACUGCUGACACGUGGCCAUGACAGACACAGAUACCAGAGCCUAGGGCUAGAAAGGACCAGAAGGUCUUAGGGAGGCCCACAGACCUGAAGCUUCGGGGUUCACUGGCCCCUCUGAUAAGUGAUCUCAUGCACGGUCUACACCACCUGCUCCUGCUCGUCACUGACAAAACUAAAUCUCAAGAUGCAGGGAGCAUAUUUGCCUGGAAAGCUGAGACACCAUUAAAGACAGUCUGGGACUUUAGGUGCAGGAAGCGUGCUGAAAAGGGACUGCUAGAGGACCACACAGAAGAGAACAUGGCAGAACUGUGGACUUCUCCAUCAGAAUAAGAGCUAAUCAUCAGAACUCACACUGUAUAGCUUUAACCAAUCCAAACCUAUACAGUCAAACUUAACAAGUUAAUUCACCACUUGCUGAAAACAAAUCUGUCAAUAAACACAAGUAAUUAAUGCUA
Non-coding RNA from Ictidomys tridecemlineatus (thirteen-lined ground squirrel), 512 nucleotides. Lineage: Eukaryota; Metazoa; Chordata; Mammalia; Rodentia; Sciuridae. The record is from RefSeq and is a predicted model, not a curated record.